AGUGAACGCUGGCGGUAGGCCUAACACAUGCAAGUCGAACGGCAGCACAGUAAGAGCUUGCUCUUACGGGUGGCGAGUGGCGGACGGGUGAGGAAUACAUCGGAAUCUACUUUUUCGUGGGGGAUAACGUAGGGAAACUUACGCUAAUACCGCAUACGACCUACGGGUGAAAGCAGGGGAUCUUCGGACCUUGCGCGAUUGAAUGAGCCGAUGUCGGAUUAGCUAGUUGGCGGGGUAAAGGCCCACCAAGGCGACGAUCCGUAGCUGGUCUGAGAGGAUGAUCAGGCAAACUGGAACUGAGACACGGGCCCAACUCCUACGGGAGGGAGCAGUGGGGAAUAUUUGACAAUGGGGGGAAGCCUGAUCCAGCCAAACCGCGGGGGUGAAGAAGGCCUUCGGGUUUGAAAAGCCUUUUUGUGGGGAAGAAAAGCAGGAGGUUAAUACCCCGGUGUUCUGGCGGGAACCAAAAAAUAAGCACCGGCUUACUUCGUG
RNAcentral lists this ribosomal RNA (492 nucleotides) under uncultured bacterium. RNAcentral describes it as "partial 16S ribosomal RNA". It matches the Rfam family "Bacterial small subunit ribosomal RNA", at positions 29 to 507 of the family's 1533-position model. The record is from RNAcentral.